UGUAAAGAUAGGAGCCUCUGUUUGCAAUUC
Molecule: non-coding RNA, 30 nt
Filed under: Mus musculus (house mouse)
Lineage: Eukaryota; Metazoa; Chordata; Mammalia; Rodentia; Muridae
Source: RNAcentral